ACGCUCAUAUCAUGUUGAAGCAUCAGUUCUCAUUCGAACCCGCAAGUUAAGCAACGACAAGCCUAGUCAGUACCUUGAUGGAUGACUGCUUGGAAAUACCAGGUACUGUAAG
Non-coding RNA from Acanthosepion pharaonis, 112 nucleotides. NCBI's taxonomy places the organism in Eukaryota, Metazoa, Mollusca, Cephalopoda, Sepiida, Sepiidae. The record is from the annotation of a GenBank genome assembly.